CAGUAGCCGCGGUAAAACAGAGGGUGCGAGCGUUAAUCGGAUUUACUGGGCGUAAAGCGUGCGUAGGCGGCUUUUUAAGUCGGAUGUGAAAUCCCUGAGCUUAACUUAGGAAUUGCAUUCGAUACUGGGAAGCUAGAGUAUGGGAGAGGAUGGUAGAAUUCCAGGUGUAGCGGUGAAAUGCGUAGAGAUCUGGAGGAAUACCGAUGGCGAAGGCAGCCAUCUGGCCUAAUACUGACGCUGAGGUACGAAAGCAUGGGGAGCAAACAGGAUUAGAUACCCGGGUAGUCCCUGUCUCUUAUAC
Molecule: ribosomal RNA, 301 nt
Filed under: uncultured bacterium
Lineage: Bacteria
Description: partial 16S ribosomal RNA
Rfam family: Bacterial small subunit ribosomal RNA
Source: RNAcentral